RNAcentral lists this unclassified non-coding RNA (578 nucleotides) under Arthrobotrys flagrans. Its description in RNAcentral is "sequence contains 18S rRNA gene, ITS1, 5.8S rRNA gene, ITS2, 28S rRNA gene". The stretch from base 237 to 390 matches the Rfam family "5.8S ribosomal RNA". Lineage: Eukaryota; Fungi; Ascomycota; Orbiliomycetes; Orbiliales; Orbiliaceae. The record is from RNAcentral.
GAUCAUUACCAAAACGUAAGCCAACCACAGCAGGGGUCCGUAACCUUCCAUACCCACGGAUGGGAAAAGGAGAGUCUGAGGUUGACCUUUUGUGAACCAAAAAAACCAUUUCGCUUCGGCAGCUGGGUCUUCGUCCGGUCUUGACCGGGUGGCCUGUCAGCCUGCCGCUAGCACCAAAAAAAAAACUUGUUGUCAAAAACAUUGUCUGAUAACCAAAAUUUUCGAAUGAAAAUCAAAACUUUCAACAACGGAUCUCUUGGUUCCCGCAUCGAUGAAGAACGCAGCGAAACGCGAUAGUUAAUGUGAAUUGCAGAAUUCAGUGAAUCAUCGAGUCUUUGAACGCACAUUGCGCCCAUUGGUAUUCCUUUGGGCAUGUCUGUUUGAGCGUCAUUACAACCCCUCAGCUAACGCUGGUUUUGAACCCGAACGGUUGAUGCCGCGCCGGUUUUAAAGUUGUAAGCUCUGCUGGCCGCUCCGCCCCAACCAGAACAUAGUAAGCACUACUUUUGUUAGGGUGAAGCCGAACGGUAUGGCCUGAACAAAACCUACCCUUUUUCUCAAGGUUUGACCUCAGAUCA